Oreochromis niloticus (Nile tilapia) is the source of this 7307-nucleotide RNA transcript. It is a transcript of the gene named Fas cell surface death receptor, with no coding region annotated. The transcript is spliced from 7 exons. The record is from RefSeq and is a predicted model, not a curated record. Lineage: Eukaryota; Metazoa; Chordata; Actinopteri; Cichliformes; Cichlidae.
GAAUAAUGGCAUUGUAAAGCGCUUUGGGUGCCUUGAAAAGCGCUAUAUAAAUCCAAUCCAUUAUUAUUAUUAUUAUUAUUAUUCAUUAUAAACACAGAGAAGAGUGUGUUUUCUCCAGCACAACGUAUAACAUUCCUCAGACAGUCCUCUGAACUCGAUCUCAUUUGCAGCUCGCUUGUCAGUCCUCUUUUGAUACAUCUUUUGUGUAACGGUCUUUUGCAUUUGAUGUUUGUUGCAUUUGAUGUUUGUUAAGCUGUAUGUCUGGAUUUUGUUCCUUUGCGCCCUCUGGUGGUGAACUGUGUAGGGUACAGCUUUGCUGUUUGGGUCUCCACCCAGCCACUUUUCUUUUGCUAGCGCACAUGGUUUCUGCAUGCUGCAGCUCACAGUUAGCUCCACACAUGAAGAAAAUAUAGUUUAAAGAGUGGAAAUAAUUGAAAAAGAAGAUGGAGGAUAAGGCAAUAAGGCCAUAAAGGACUAUUUAGCACCUCCUGGAUGUCAGCUCACGAGUUCUCACGGGUUGCCAAGACCAGAAUAAACCCUGUUCUAUAACUACAUCGUGCGUACGUCAAUCCUUGAGGGUACUACAGUGAGAACUCUGCUCUGCACCGGUAGAUGAAAGGACGCAGCCCCGCAGGAAAGUCAGGUGCCCCGAAAAUAAGUGUUGCCUCAGUUAAAGGACUCAAUAUAAUUAACCACAAGAAAGAGAAAUAAAAAGGAAAAAAGGACUGUAAAAAUAAUUCAGAUAAGUUUCCUUUUAUAAAUGAACAAAGGACUGGAAUAUUUCUUUUUUCUUUCUUUCUCAUUGUUUACAUUUCUGCUGUUUAAGUGACUGAUAUUUAUACAGUGUUAAGUUAAUGUUGUGAUGAGUAACCUGUGCAUUGUGCGUAUGGUGGGUUUCAGCAGUUUCUGUAAGAAACAGUAUUACUGGCUUGGACAAGACAUGUAAAGUGACUUAAGUAUACACACUGAGUGAUGUUUAAAGAGGAACAGUAAUUACUGUGCUUUAAAGUUGUAACAGUAAACGUAGAUUAAUAUUCAUUUGCUCCUCAACUACCAAAUCAAAUUUAAGCUGCUGCACCAUUACAUUAAGGCUAAGCAAGAUACACAAAAAACCCCAAAACCCUCCAACAAUGGCAGAGUUUGACCCUAAUCCAGAAGUCAGUGAAAAGGGUGAUGUGGAACAACUUUCUGCAGAUGAGCAACUACAAGCAGUUGAAGGCACAGCUGAUGAUGUUUCUACUACCUCACAAAGAGUACGACAGAGCCAACGAGUCCGUACGUUGACGGAAAAGGGCAAAGAACUGUACGGUGAGCACAUAAAGAAGGCUGCACAUCGUUUCAGUGUGCCCUAAGAGAAGUGGAAGGUUGUCAUUAAGGAUGCCAAAGGAGCUAUAGAUGGUCAAUGCUCAAAGGAUCUGCUACAAGAACAUGUUACCAAGGUUUUGAGUGCUUCUAAGGAUGUGAAUGCUGCCUAUGAUGACUUCAGACGUAUUGAAUCUCCAGAUAGUGACACAAGACGAAGGAUGGAUACGUGUGAAGCCAUAACAAAGACAAUUAUCGAAUCUGUAAGAAAGUGUCCAAGCCCAAGUAGUGCGGCGGUUCAAAGAGAUGAAGAACUUUGGAAGGACAGUGAGUCUUCAUCUAAAUCCGUAGCCUCAGAUGUGGAAAGUCAAAGGGAUGAAAUGGAAGGAUGGAAGGAAACUGAGUCUAUGCCUAAGUUGAUGAGUGUUAAGUCACACCACACUAAGCUCUCUUCUCAUUCAAGGGUUUCCUCUAGACACUCCAGCAGGCUCUCGGCUAAAAGACAAGAUGCAACUGCUGAAGUUGCAGCAAAUGAGGCUGCUCUCCAAGUUCUGCUUGAACAAGAAAUCCAUAUGAAGGAAAUUGAAAGGCAAGAAGCAGAAAUAGCACAAAGACAAAAGGCUCUAGAGGUUAAGCACAGAGAAGUAGAGCAACUUGAGACUGUAAAAAAGCUGAAUGCAGCAAAGGCUCGACAGCGGGUGUAUGAACAAAGUGAAUGUUCAGAUGAAGAAAUAUACAACCUACUUCACCACAGAUCUGACAAGAAAAAUGAAGUCAAGUCUGAAAACAAUGACCAGCAUAUGAAACGGUGUUCCUCGCCCCAAAAUGUGACACCGCAACAAGAGGUGAGCACAGAAGAUCUGGUCAAAGCAUUUCCAGUGUCUCUUAAUGCAAGUCGUCUUCUGGUACCAGAGCCAACAAUAUUCAGUGGCGAUCCUAUCAGAUAUAAUGAUUGGAAAAUUUCCUUUCAGACUCUGAUCGACAGGAAAAAUAUACCAGUUGAAGAGAAGACUUAUUACCUGAGGAAAUAUGUAAGUGGCCCUGUAAGGAAGGCAAUAGAAGGCUACUUCCCGCUUGGCACAGAGUCUGCAUACUAUGCAGCAUGGACAGUUCUCGAAGAGAGGUAUGGCAAUCCCUUCCUCGUAGCAAAGGCCUUCAGAGACAAACUUGACGCAUGGCCUAAGAUAAGCUCUAAAGGCAGUAUGGAACUUCAAGCAUUUGCUGACUUCCUUUGCUGCUGUAAGACAGCCACGUCGCAAAUGAAGCGACUUGAAGUGCUCAAUGACUGCAAUGAAAACCAAAAAAUGCUUGCAAAACUCCCAGAUUGGCUGACUUCAAGGUGGAACAGAAAGGUUACAGAAGUGCAAGAAGAGACUCACACCUUUCCAAGCUUCAGCCAAUUUGUAGAUUUCAUCUCACGGGAAGCCAAAAUUGCCUGUAAUCCCAUAACAUCUCUCCAUGCUCUGAAGCCAAGUGAAACUGAAGGGGCAAAAACAACAAGGAACAGAGGCAAUAGAGCAAAGGUGCUAGCAACUAGCUCAAAUGAAAGGACUGUUAGUGCUAGUUGUGUGUACUGUGAAAGGUCGGGUCACAGCCUACUUAAGUGUAGAAGGUUCAUAAAUGAGAGCAUUGUUGAGAGACUAAAGUUUAUUCAAGACAAGAAGUUAUGUUUUGGCUGUCUGAACUCUGGUCAUCGCUCCAAGGAUUGUGAAAGCAGAGAAACCUGUGACACAUGUAAUAAAAGACAUCCGACAUGUCUUCAUGACAGUCGCACUAAGGAAGACAGAACAAGGAGAAAUCAAACCAAGAACAGUGACAGGACAAGACAAACAAACUCAGACGUCUCACAAGACAACAGUGUCACACCAACAACAAGUGAAGCAACUUCUAACAGAGUCACGCAGAAUGUUGACGACACUCACACAUCUUCCAUUAUUCCAGUAUGGGUGUCAACCAAAGGUGAGCCAGAGCAUGAAAUUCUUGUGUACGCACUCCUUGAUACACAGAGCAAUACAACCUUUAUUCUUGAAGAAACGGCACAAGCUCUGCAUAUCAAAGGUGAAUCGACUCAGCUAAAGCUCACUACCAUGUCUUCAAGAAACACAGUUGUGUCUUGUCGCAAGCUCUCAGGUCUACAAGUCAGAGGGUUCUACUCAAAUAAGACCAUUUCCCUACCAGUAACAUACUCCAGAGACUUUAUUCCCGCAAACCGAGAUCACAUUCCAUCGCCUACAACAGCUAAGGCUUGGCCUCAUCUUGAAUGCAUUGCAAGUGAGAUCGCUCCACUACAAAGCUGUGAUGUUGGUCUGCUGAUUGGGUACAACUGCCCCCAAGCACUUGUUCCUCGUGAGGUUGUGUCUGGAAGGGAAAAUCAGCCGUUCGUCCAAAAAACUGAUCUGGGAUGGAGUAUUGUGGGUUAUGGCAAUCCAUGUCUUGAUUAUGGAGAUGCCUUCGGAAUAAGUCACCAAGUCAUUGUGAAGGAAGUAGUGCCUGACAUUCAGCCUUCUUCAAACCUCACCAACAAGGUUCACUAUGUCUACAGAACUCAAAUAAAGGAAAUUAUCUCUCCCACAGAGGUCAUACUCAGUGGUGAAAUUAAGGUGGGAGAGUUAUCAACCAGUGACCCGGAGGUUAAGAAGGUUCAAGUCCACAAGAUACAAGUGGAGGAACAAAGGUCCCUGUUAGAUCGCUUAUACAAGUUUUCCGACUGGUCGAGAAUGAUUAAGGCAGUUGGUAGACUCAAGCGCUAUGUGAAAGAAGCAAAGGAUCACAAGAGUAGAUCACACGACAUCAGUAGCCUACAAGAGAGAAAGGAAGCAGAGUUAACGAUCAUAAAGAUGGUUCAAGAAACAGCCUUUGCUCAGGAAAUAAAAACCUUGCAACACCAUGAUGUGAUGCAGAUGAAAGACAAGGUUAACAAGUUACACAAGUUAUGUCCAUUUCUUGAUGAUCAAGGCAUUCUUUGGGUAGGCGGACGCUUAACACAUGCAGCUUUGCACCCCAAUGUCAAGCAUCCUGCGAUCCUGCCAAGAGACAGUCACGUGUCGGCAUUACUGGUCAAACAUUAUCACGAGAAGACAUACCAUCAAGGACGAGGGAUCACCAUGAAUGAACUUCGAGCUAACGGAUUCUGGAUUCUUGGAUGCAGCAAGAUUGUGUCAUCUUACAUCUAUAAAUGUGUAAAAUGCAGAAGGUUCAGAAGGCGCACAGAGCAGCAGAAGAUGGCAGACCUCCCAGAGGAUCGGAUGGAGACCACACCGCCAUUCACCUACCGUGGGAUGGACUGCUUUGGUCCUUUUUAUGUCAAAGAAGGCCGCAAGGAGCUAAAGUGUUAUGGCUUGCUAAUCACUUGCAUGUGCUCCAGAGCAGUGCAUCUUGAAAUGCUUGACGAUCUCUCUACAGAUUCCCUCAUCAACUCCUUACGUGCAUUCAUGGCCAUCAGAGGUACAGUUCGCCAGAUAAGAUGCGAUCAAGGCACGAAUUUUGUCGACACUAGAAAUGAGUUUCUUGGAGCAUUUAAGGAAAUGGAUCAAGCCAAGCUAGGGAAACUGGACUGCGAGUUUCUCAUGAACACCCCAGCAUCUAGUCACAUGGGUGGUGUCUGGGAAAGACAAAUUCGCACCAUAAGAAGUGUUUUCACGUCCAUUCUGGAACAAUCAGCCAAACAACUCGACAGCUCCUCUCUGAGGACAUUCCUGUAUGAAGUCAUGGCAGUGAUUAAUAGCAGACCAUUGACUACUGACCAACUAUGUGAUCCAUCAAACCCAGAACCUUUAACACCGAAUCACAUACUAACCAUGAAGUCCACAAUCAUCUCUCCACCUCCAGGAAGGUUUGUGAAAGAAGAUCUUUAUCUCCGUAAGAGGUGGCGUCGUGUUCAAAUACUUGCCAACACUUUCUGGACAAGGUGGAAAAAGGAGUAUUUGUUAAAUCUUCAAGGCAGACAGAAGUGGACCAAAGAGCACAGAAAUGCUAAGAUCAAUGAUGUUGUCCUCCUGAAGGAUGAGAUAACUCCACGCAACCAGUGGAAGUUGGCAAGGAUCAUUGAAGUGUAUCCUGGAAAGGAUGGAAAAGUGAGGAAGGUGAAAUUGCUGCUGAGUGAUCCAACCCUGGAUAGAGCAGGAAAACAUACCUCCAAACCUGUGCACCUGGAAAGACCCAUUCAGAAGACAGUCAUUCUGAUGGAAGCGGAAGAAGAUUCUCCACCGCACUCUGCUUAAAGGAUAAUUCAUGAUAGUUCAUUCAAAAGCCGUUCAUUAGUUCAUAGACAAUACUUUAUUCUUUAAAAUCACGAGUGAUUGGUGGGAGUGUAACGGUCUUUUGCAUUUGAUGUUUGUUGCAUUUGAUGUUUGUUAAGCUGUAUGUCUGGAUUUUGUUUGUCUGUGAGCAGUUCUCACGGGUUGCCAAGACCAGAAUAAACCCUGUUCUAUGACUACAUCGUGCGUACGUCAAUCCUUGAGGGUGCUACAUUUUGUGUCAUCCAAACAGGUUGGAGGCUGUUACAGUCUUGUAAACUUCAUUCGUAAUUAUGGAAGCACAGAGUCAGGACACUACAUCUGUAAUUCUGUCCAUCCUGAGGAGAGUCCAGACUCUACAACAGAUCGCUGGCUCACCAGACAGACAGUUCUAAAACUGGAUGUUGAAGGAAAUCAUCAUACCGAGAAGGAACAACAAUCGUCCUAGCCCACCAUCGCCAACUGGAGGACAAAUAUUGCGGGCCGUGUGAGCAUGCAGUAGACUGGUACAAAUCUGACACAGGGACGGAGUGUGACUACAAAGAGCUGAAAUUUGAUACAGUUGCAAAAACAACCAAAUCCCACAGGAGUUCUCCUUCAAGUUAAGUUUUUUCUUUUUCUUUUAUUCCCUAGUCAAACCCCUUUUCCUAGUUUUGUUCAAAGAUACAUUUGCUGUUAACUACAGUUGGCACAGAUCAAACAGCAUUUUAAGGGGGGAUGUGGGGUGAAGCAUUAAUUUCCUACAUGAGUGGCACUGGCAGGAAGGAUUUCCUGCUACAGAACUGACACUAGGAGCUUAAUAAGUUCACUCUAAAAGAGAAUUCUUCAAAUCAAAGACUGUAUUUUUUACUUCCUUUUAAACUUUAGUAUAAGAUAGACGUGAACAAAUCUGACUUCCUGCAGAGCUUUCUUUUAGCUUUGAUCAUCUGCGUAAUUAUAUUUUUAGGCGGCAAAUUUCCCCUUAAGAAACAACAACAAAAGGGAGAAAAAUCAAUCAGUAACUGGUUGUGAACAUAUUGUUUCACAUAUUUAACUCAUUCCAUAUUUUAACACCCAUGUUAAAAUAUCAGUUAUGCCAAUCUUUUAGAACAUUCUGAUAAAUCAAGUCAGAAUCGAUAACAUAUAUUGUUAAAUGCUAUAAAGAAAAUCAUUUUGUUAAGUCGAAUUAAUGGAUGUGGUAGGCUCCACCUCAAAAAAGGGUGUCGGUGGAGCAAGAAACAGAGCAAUAGCACCACCUAGUGGCAUAAAUUAAAAUACAAAACUUUCUUUUUCGUCAUGUUCUUCUUUUUAUUUUUAUCUGAAAUAGAUAACAAACAAAAGAAUAUCAUAAUAGCUCAAUGCGUAUCUUUUGUUUUUGAAAAGAAAAACAAAACAGACUAAAGCGAUAAAAGAUGAUGAUCUGGUAUGUGUAACUUUCCUGUUCUACUAUUAACGCAAUUUUGUUUUUGGUUAUAAUUGUGUUUCCUUUUGCAACAUAGCUCUAUAGAUAUAUGUGAUUUUCUGUCACUGACUAAGCGGUGGUUUCUGGGACUUUCCGUGGGGAUUACAGUAGCUUCUCAUGACCUGUGAGAGACAGCGCAACACAACCAAACAGGAAACCCCGCCUCGUCGUGUUGCUGCACGCCUACAAACUUUAGCCUCUCCACAUUUCAGGCUCUUGACUCACUGCGUGAUGGCGACGAAGUUUUCACUGUGGUUUAAUAUCUGUGUUUGGCUCGCUGUGUCACUAUGCAUUUGCUUUGCCUCGUCCCAGCGUCACAGGUCAGUUAA